Non-coding RNA from Variovorax sp. HW608, 221 nucleotides. NCBI's taxonomy places the organism in Bacteria, Pseudomonadati, Pseudomonadota, Betaproteobacteria, Burkholderiales, Comamonadaceae. The record is from Rfam.
CAAGUCCAUUGCGAUGAAGGUGUAGCGAGCCACAUCGGCCCCGAGCCGUGCGCCGGCUCCCGCGAGGGUGUCGGCGAAGCGUCGGUAGGGGAACACACAGGCCAGCCAUUGAGCCGCGAUAGUAUUCUUGUCCGGGUGCCGACGCUGUCGACAAGGCGGAAGGCAACACAUCCAAGCGCGCCAUCGCAAGCGUUUGGAUGGCCCGGCGUGGUCGUAGACCC